This 598-nucleotide ribosomal RNA is filed under the name uncultured ciliate. RNAcentral's name for it is "SSU rRNA". It matches the Rfam family "Eukaryotic small subunit ribosomal RNA", at positions 326 to 937 of the family's 1831-position model. The record is from RNAcentral. Lineage: Eukaryota; Ciliophora.
UGGUAGUGUAUUGGACAACCAUGGCUUUAACGGGUAACGGAGGAUUAGGGUUCGAUUCCGGAGAGGGAGCCUGAGAAACGGCUACCACAUCUAAGGAAGGCAGCAGGCGCGUAAAUUACCCAAUCCUGAUUCAGGGAGGUAGUGACAAGAAAUAACAGACCGAAGCUUUUGUUUCGGGAUUGAAAUGAAUAGAAUUUAAACCCCUUUAUGAGGAUCCAUUGGAGGGCAAGUCUGGUGCCAGCAGCCGCGGUAAUUCCAGCUCCAAUAGCGUAUAUUAAAGUUGUUGCAGUUAAAAAGCUCGUAGUUGGAUUUCUGGUAGGUCUCCAAUGUCCGCUUGUUCGCGAGUGCAGCGGAGACCUGCCAUCCUUCUGUUAACGAUACUUGGUAUUCAGUUACUGGUAUCGGGCUCAGAUAUUUUACCUUGAGAAAAUUAGAGUGUUUCAGGCAGGCUCGCGCCGGAAUACAUUAGCAUGGAAUAAUAGAAUAGGACUUUUGUCUCCUUUGUUGGUUUGAGGGACGGAAGUAAUGAUUAAUAGGGAUAGUUGGGGGCAUUAGUAUUUAAUUGUCAGAGGUGAAAUUCUCGGAUUUGUUAAAGACU